Molecule: long non-coding RNA, 1813 nt
Filed under: Capra hircus (goat)
Lineage: Eukaryota; Metazoa; Chordata; Mammalia; Artiodactyla; Bovidae
Description: lncRNA (ENSCHIG00000007532.1)
Source: RNAcentral
GUCAGAGCUAGCUGUCAGCGGCCUUGGGAUCCAUUCUGUCGUAAUAUUGCUUCUCACAUAGCGCCGGCAUGACUCACGCCGCCGGUCUGGGUCUGUUCGGUAGCUGCUGUAAUUUCACCUGUAACGCUUGUCCACCUUUGUGCUCAGCACUCACCAGGGCUUCUCAGCUUGGCUCCCACACCCUCACAGGAACCCAUCAGUAGCUUGACAGGGGACAAUAAGAGUCUCCUGACUCAUAGCUUUCGUUUCCUUGUCUGUCAUGUUCCUGCGAUGGCUGAGAGGGAUGGAAUCCAGCCCACAGCAUUGUCCUCCUUGACAAGUUAAAUCUGCCCUUCUGUGCUGUCAAAUUGAUUUUACUCCUGUCCUUAGAACUAAUGAGAAAAUAUCAGCUAAGAGCAGUAAUGUGCUGCAGCUGCAGGAAACUGAUAUAUCACCCCAAGUCACCUUCAGGCUGGCAGAGGGCAGCUCCUGAGUUUCUCAUCCAUGUUCUGCACCCACCAUCAAUUCCCAUUCAUUCAUUCAUGUGCAUGGCUGUGGUAGACAUGUCACAAGAAAUACAAGCCCAAGUCACAUUCUCAAGUUCACUUCAACAUGAGGAAACAAGAAAUUCACAUCAAGAGAUGGAUUAAAUAAGAUGAGAUGGGUCCUCAACAGUUCCUGAAAUGAUCUUACACAUUUGUUUAUUUGUUGAGAGUUGGCCUUCUUGACCUUGGCAUUGACAUUUUGGGGCCAAUCGUUCUUUGCUAUGGGACUGUCCUGUGAGGUCUGGUGUUUAGCAGAGGCCCUGGACUCUACCCACCAGAUGCCAGUCACAUCCUUCCAGGCACAACAAUAAAGUCUGUUGCCAGAUGUUCCCUGACAGGGGAGAAUCACCCCUAGUUGAGAAGUGCUGUCUCAUCAUCCUUCUUGCUUUCUGUCAUUUCUCCAGCCCCAAGAACAGUGUGCUUAGCUUAGACAGUGUAUUAAAAAGCAGAGAUGUCACUUUGCCAACAAAGGUCCAUAUAGUCAAAGCUAUGGUUUUUCCAGUAGCCAUGUAUGGACCUCCCUGGUAGCUCAGACAGUAAAGCAUCUGCCUACAAUGUGGGAGACCCUGGUUCAAUCCCUGGGUCAGGAAGAUCUCCUGGAGAUGAAAUAGCAACCCACUCUAGUACUCUUGCCUGGAAAAUCCCAAGGAUGGAGAAGCCUGGUAGGCUACAGCCCAUGGGGUUGCAAAGAGUUGGACACGACUGAGUGAUUUCACUUCACUAUGUAUGAAUGUGAGAGUUGGACCAUAAAGAAGCCUGAGUGCUGAAGAAUUGGUGGUUUUGAACUGUGGUGCUGGAGAAGACUCUUGAGAGUUCCUUGGGCUGCAAAGACAUCAAACUAGUAAAUACUAAAGGAAAUCAACCCUGAAUAUUCAUUGGAAGGAUGGAUGCUGAAGCUGCAGCUCCGAUAUUUUGGCCACUUGAUGUGAAGAGCCAGUUCUUUGGAAAAGACCCUGAUGCUGGGAAAGAUUGAAGGCAGGAGGAGAAGGGGAUGACAGAGGAUGAGAUUGUUGGAUGGCAUCACCAGCUCAAUGGACAUGAGUUUGAGCAAACUUUGGGAGAUACUGAAGGACAGGGAAGCCUGGCGUGCUACAGUCAUGGGGUUGGCAGUGUUGGACAUGACUUAGCAACUGAACAAUCACAACAUUUAGUGAGCACUUUGUAAAUGUGGGUUGACAAGCUGGCUGGAGAGGGGCUACAGAGUGAGGUUUGCUAUUUUGUGGGAACUCAGAGCAAAGGUGUCCCAUCUCUGAGCUCAGUUGGGUGCUCUUUGAUGACUUAGAGAGGUG